RNAcentral lists this ribosomal RNA (3073 nucleotides) under Campylobacter jejuni. Its description in RNAcentral is "23S ribosomal RNA". It matches the Rfam family "Bacterial large subunit ribosomal RNA". The record is from RNAcentral. Lineage: Bacteria; Pseudomonadati; Campylobacterota; Epsilonproteobacteria; Campylobacterales; Campylobacteraceae.
UAAAAAAAGGUAAGCUACUAAGAGCGAAUGGUGGAUGCCUUGACUGGUAAAGGCGAUGAAGGACGUACUAGACUGCGAUAAGCUACGGGGAGCUGUCAAGAAGCUUUGAUCCGUAGAUUUCCGAAUGGGGCAACCCAAUGUAUAGAGAUAUACAUUACCUAUAUAGGAGCGAACGAGGGGAAUUGAAACAUCUUAGUACCCUCAGGAAAAGAAAUCAAUAGAGAUUGCGUCAGUAGCGGCGAGCGAAAGCGCAAGAGGGCAAACCCAGUGCUUGCACUGGGGGUUGUAGGACUGCAAUGUGCAAGAGGUAAGUUUAGCAGAACAUUCUGGAAAGUAUAACCAUAGAGGGUGAUAGUCCCGUAUGCGAAAAACAAACCUUAGCUAGCAGUAUCCUGAGUAGGGCGGGACACGAGGAAUCCUGUCUGAAUCCGGGUCGACCACGAUCCAACCCUAAAUACUAAUACCAGAUCGAUAGUGCACAAGUACCGUGAGGGAAAGGUGAAAAGAACUGAGGUGAUCAGAGUGAAAUAGAACCUGAAACCAUUUGCUUACAAUCAUUCAGAGCCCUAUGUAGCAAUACAGGGUGAUGGACUGCCUUUUGCAUAAUGAGCCUGCGAGUUGUGGUGUCUGGCAAGGUUAAGCAAACGCGAAGCCAUAGCGAAAGCGAGUCUGAAUAGGGCGCUUAGUCAGAUGCUGCAGACCCGAAACGAAGUGAUCUAUCCAUGAGCAAGUUGAAGCUAGUGUAAGAACUAGUGGAGGACUGAACCCAUAGGCGUUGAAAAGCCCCGGGAUGACUUGUGGAUAGGGGUGAAAGGCCAAUCAAACUUCGUGAUAGCUGGUUCUCUCCGAAAUAUAUUUAGGUAUAGCGUUGUGUCGUAAUAUAAGGGGGUAGAGCACUGAAUGGGCUAGGGCAUACACCAAUGUACCAAACCCUAUCAAACUCCGAAUACCUUAUAUGUAAUCACAGCAGUCAGGCGGCGAGUGAUAAAAUCCGUCGUCAAGAGGGAAACAACCCAGACUACCAGCUAAGGUCCCUAAAUCUUACUUAAGUGGAAAACGAUGUGAAGUUACUUAAACAACCAGGAGGUUGGCUUAGAAGCAGCCAUCCUUUAAAGAAAGCGUAAUAGCUCACUGGUCUAGUGAUUUUGCGCGGAAAAUAUAACGGGGCUAAAGUAAGUACCGAAGCUGUAGACUUGCACACAACUUAGAUUAUUUAAGUUUAGAAUAUGAGAAACUAAGUUAUAUGUUUAGUUAUAUUUUUACUGAUUUUUAUAGAGUAAAGAUAGAAAUAAAACUUAGUAAAAUCAGUAAAAAUAUUCUUAGACUAAAGUUAAGUAGUUUAAGUUGUGUGCAAGUGGUAGGAGAGCGUUCUAUUUGCGUCGAAGGUAUACCGGUAAGGAGUGCUGGAGCGAAUAGAAGUGAGCAUGCAGGCAUGAGUAGCGAUAAUUAAUGUGAGAAUCAUUAACGCCGUAAACCCAAGGUUUCCUACGCGAUGCUCGUCAUCGUAGGGUUAGUCGGGUCCUAAGUCGAGUCCGAAAGGGGUAGACGAUGGCAAAUUGGUUAAUAUUCCAAUACCAACAUUAGUGUGCGAUGGAAGGACGCUUAGGGCUAAGGGGGCUAGCGGAUGGAAGUGCUAGUCUAAGGUCGUAGGAGGUUAUACAGGCAAAUCCGUAUAACAAUACUCCGAGAACUGAAAGGCUUUUUGAAGUCUUCGGAUGGAUAGAAGAACCCCUGAUGCCGUCGAGCCAAGAAAAGUUUCUAAGUUUAGCUAAUGUUGCCCGUACCGUAAACCGACACAGGUGGGUGGGAUGAGUAUUCUAAGGCGCGUGGAAGAACUCUCUUUAAGGAACUCUGCAAAAUAGCACCGUAUCUUCGGUAUAAGGUGUGGUUAGCUUUGUAUUAGGAUUUACUCCGAAAGCAAGGAAACUUACAACAAAGAGUCCCUCCCGACUGUUUACCAAAAACACAGCACUCUGCUAACUCGUAAGAGGAUGUAUAGGGUGUGACGCCUGCCCGGUGCUCGAAGGUUAAUUGAUGGGGUUAGCAUUAGCGAAGCUCUUGAUCGAAGCCCGAGUAAACGGCGGCCGUAACUAUAACGGUCCUAAGGUAGCGAAAUUCCUUGUCGGUUAAAUACCGACCUGCAUGAAUGGCGUAACGAGAUGGGAGCUGUCUCAAAGAGGGAUCCAGUGAAAUUGUAGUGGAGGUGAAAAUUCCUCCUACCCGCGGCAAGACGGAAAGACCCCGUGGACCUUUACUACAGCUUGACACUGCUACUUGGAUAAGAAUGUGCAGGAUAGGUGGGAGGCUUUGAGUAUAUGACGCCAGUUGUAUAUGAGCCAUUGUUGAGAUACCACUCUUUCUUAUUUGGGUAGCUAACCAGCUUGAGUUAUCCUCAAGUGGGACAAUGUCUGGUGGGUAGUUUGACUGGGGCGGUCGCCUCCCAAAUAAUAACGGAGGCUUACAAAGGUUGGCUCAGAACGGUUGGAAAUCGUUCGUAGAGUAUAAAGGUAUAAGCCAGCUUAACUGCAAGACAUACAAGUCAAGCAGAGACGAAAGUCGGUCUUAGUGAUCCGGUGGUUCUGUGUGGAAGGGCCAUCGCUCAAAGGAUAAAAGGUACCCCGGGGAUAACAGGCUGAUCUCCCCCAAGAGCUCACAUCGACGGGGAGGUUUGGCACCUCGAUGUCGGCUCAUCGCAUCCUGGGGCUGGAGCAGGUCCCAAGGGUAUGGCUGUUCGCCAUUUAAAGCGGUACGCGAGCUGGGUUCAGAACGUCGUGAGACAGUUCGGUCCCUAUCUGCCGUGGGCGUAAGAAGAUUGAAGAGAUUUGACCCUAGUACGAGAGGACCGGGUUGAACAAACCACUGGUGUAGCUGUUGUUCUGCCAAGAGCAUCGCAGCGUAGCUAAGUUUGGAAAGGAUAAACGCUGAAAGCAUCUAAGCGUGAAGCCAACUCUAAGAUGAAUCUUCUCUAAGCUCUCUAGAAGACUACUAGUUUGAUAGGCUGGGUGUGUAAUGGAUGAAAGUCCUUUAGCUGACCAGUACUAAUAGAGCGUUUGGCUUAUCUUUAAUAAAGCAU